This 428-nucleotide ribosomal RNA is filed under the name uncultured bacterium. Its description in RNAcentral is "bacterial SSU rRNA". It matches the Rfam family "Bacterial small subunit ribosomal RNA", at positions 98 to 520 of the family's 1533-position model. The record is from RNAcentral.
GCGAACGGGUGAGGAAUACAUAGGUAACCUACCCUCGAGUGGGGAAUAACUAGCCGAAAGGUUAGCUAAUACCGCGUACGCUCCCCGGACUACGGUUCGGGGAGGAAAGCGAUACCGUGGGUAUCGCGCUCUUGGAUGGGCUUAUGUCCUAUCAGCUUGUUGGUGAGGUAAUGGCUCACCAAGGCUUCGACGGGUAGCUGGUCUGAGAGGACGAUCAGCCACACUGGCACUGCGACACGGGCCAGACUCCUACGGGAGGCAGCAGUAAGGAAUAUUGCGCAAUGGGCGACAGCCUGACGCAGCGACGCCGCGUGGGGGACGAAGGUCUUCGGAUUGUAAACCCCUUUCGGGAGGGAAGAUGGGAUGGGUAACCAUUCGGACGGUACCUCCAGAAGCAGCCACGGCUAACUUCGUGCCAGCAGCCGCGG